This 63-nucleotide transfer RNA is filed under the name Sutterellaceae bacterium. RNAcentral's name for it is "tRNA-Pro". It matches the Rfam family "tRNA", at positions 7 to 64 of the family's 71-position model. Rfam says of the family: Transfer RNA (tRNA) molecules are approximately 80 nucleotides in length. Their secondary structure includes four short double-helical elements and three loops (D, anti-codon, and T loops). The record is from RNAcentral. Lineage: Bacteria; Pseudomonadati; Pseudomonadota; Betaproteobacteria; Burkholderiales; Sutterellaceae.
GCGUAGCGCAGCCUGGUAGCGCACUUGCAUGGGGUGCAAGGGGUCGCGAGUUCGAAUCCCGCC